AAAAGAAAAUAAAUAAAUAAAAGUUUUAGCCAAGUGGCUUUUGCCUACGACUGUUGCUCAAGCUGCUUUUAUAAAUUACUUUCUUUGCAUGGUUUCCAUUUAUAUUAGCUGUGCUGCACUGAAACUGACCAUUUGACUCGAUGAAUAUUUCACCUAAUUAAAUAAAUAGGCAUGAUCUCUUUUACUUUCAUGGAGUUGCUGCUACAAGUUAAUUUCACCAUUGAGCAUUUCACUAGCCAUAUAUACCAGUUAUUGAGAAUUCUUAGCAUCCUUGUUCAUCACUGCUAUUGAACUUGCAG
RNAcentral lists this unclassified non-coding RNA (299 nucleotides) under Hevea brasiliensis (rubber tree). The record is from RNAcentral. Lineage: Eukaryota; Viridiplantae; Streptophyta; Magnoliopsida; Malpighiales; Euphorbiaceae.